AUGCUGAGGUUACUGCUCAUUUGGGCAGCGAUCUUGGGCUGCUGCCAUGGGCAGUCCGAAGUGUCCCGGAGGAACAGCCUCCUGAAGGUGAUGUCACCGCCGGAGCUCGAGGGCACGUACGGCUGUGCCAGUGCCGACUUCGGUUUCCCGCAGCACGCUGGCUCCAUGACUGGCGUGGUCGUCUACCCAAGGCCCAACACGAUGGCCUGCAUGAACUUCGAUGACUUUGGCAUCUCUUUCCGUUCGCGUCGAGCUGGCGGGCCUCCUGUUAUCUUGCUCGUAGACAGGGGAGGUUGUUACUUCACAACCAAGGUGCAGAAUGGGCAGAAAGCAGGAGCAGCAGCAGUCCUUAUUGUUAAUCACAGAAAUGAACCUUUAUUUGCAAUAGACGAACCAGAAAGUGGAGAGACAACACUCGAUUUACACUUACAGGAUAUUACCAUUCCUUCAGCACUUAUAACCAAAAGCCUUGGGGAGAGUCUAAGGAAAGCAAGUAACAAUGGCGACUUGGUUAAUGUAAACUUGGACUGGGAGGAGUCCCGGCCGCACCCUCAUGAGCGUGCCGAGUAUGAAUUUUGGACAAACGGUAACGAUGAAUGUGGUCCAAAAUGCGAUGAGCAAGUUGAUUUCCUGAAGAGAUUCAAAGGUGUAGCCCAGACACUCGAGAAGAAGGGCUAUACACAGUUCACUCCUCAUUACAUUACUUGGUAUUGCCCAGAGAACUUUGUCUUAAGCAAGCAGUGCAAGUCCCAAUGUAUCAACCAUGGGAGGUAUUGUGCGCCAGACCCGGAACAAGGUUUCAGCAAAGGGUACGAUGGGAGAGAUGUGGUGCUUCAGAACUUAUAUCAAAUUUGUGUGUUCAAAGUUGCAAAGAAGACUGGGAAGCCUUGGUUAUGGUGGGACUAUGUGACUCAUUUUGCUAUUAUGUGCCCAAUGAAGAAAAAGAUGUACACUCAUGAAUGUGCUUCCGGAGUAAUCAGAUCACUUGGCCUUAGUCAGAAAGCAGUUGACAUGUGUGUUGGUGAUCCUCAUGCGGACGAGGAUCAUCCUGUGCUAAAAGAUGAGCAAGAUGCACAGAUUGGCAAGGGUUCUCGCAGUGAUGUUACUAUGUUACCAACACUUGUAAUCAACAAUAGGCAAUACAAAGGGAAACUUGAAAAAGGAGCAGUUCUUAGAGCUCUCUGCGCCAGCUUUCGAGAAAAUAAUGAACCAUCUGUUUGCUCAAACGAAGAAGAAGACAUACAAACCAAUCAAUGCUUGGACAACAAUGGCGGUUGUUGGCAAGAUAUGGCUGCUAACGUGACUGCGUGCAAGGACACCUCCACUGGAACAGUUUGUGAAUGUCCAGUUUUGCAAGGUGUGAAGUACAUUGGUGAUGGUUACAACCACUGCGAAGCUCCCAUGUAUGUCCAGAUAGAGACCAUCAAUCAAGACUGGCCCCAGCCGAUCAAGAUCCGUAAUACCCAUACAUAUUCUUCUUAUUUAACAGAGGUUGUCCAUAAGGCCAUUUACAACCUCUUUUCAGGAAUAUUUGUGGCACAUAAGGUGUUCUAA
RNAcentral lists this ribosomal RNA (1554 nucleotides) under Triticum aestivum (bread wheat). Its description in RNAcentral is "partial small subunit ribosomal RNA". Lineage: Eukaryota; Viridiplantae; Streptophyta; Magnoliopsida; Poales; Poaceae. The record is from RNAcentral.